UACGGAGGGUGCGAGCGUUGUUCGGAAUUACUGGGCGUAAAGGGCGCGUAGGCGGUCCGAUAAGUCCCGUGUGAAAUCCCUCGGCUCAACUGAGGAAUGGCACGGGAAACUGCCGGGCUUGAGUUCGGGAGAGGGAAGCGGAAUUCCGGGUGUAGCGGUGAAAUGCGUAGAUAUCCGGAGGAACACCGGUGGCGAAGGCGGCUUCCUGGACCGACACUGACGCUGAGGCGCGAAAGCUAGGGGAGCAAACGGG
This 253-nucleotide ribosomal RNA is filed under the name uncultured bacterium. Its description in RNAcentral is "partial 16S ribosomal RNA". It matches the Rfam family "Bacterial small subunit ribosomal RNA", at positions 524 to 776 of the family's 1533-position model. The record is from RNAcentral.